RNAcentral lists this ribosomal RNA (442 nucleotides) under uncultured bacterium. Its description in RNAcentral is "partial 16S ribosomal RNA". It matches the Rfam family "Bacterial small subunit ribosomal RNA", at positions 338 to 795 of the family's 1533-position model. The record is from RNAcentral.
CCUACGGGGGGCUGCAGUGGGGGAUAUUGCACAAUGGGGGGAACCCUGAUGCAGCGACGCCGCGUGAGGGAAGACGGCCUUCGGGUUGUAAACCUCUGUCGCAGGGGACGAAGGAGAUGACGGUACUCUGUGAGGAAGCCAGGGCUAACUACGUGCCAGCAGCCGCGGUAAGAGGGGGGUGGCGAGCGUUGUCCGGAAUUACUGGGUGUAAGGGGAGAGGAGGCGGGAUAGGAAGUUGAAUGUAAAAACUACCGGCUUAACCGAUAGAAGCGUUCAAAACUGAUAUUCUUGAGUGAAGUAGAGGCAGGCGGAAUUCCUAGUGUAGCGGUGAAAUGCGUAGAUAUUAGGAGGAACACCAGUGGCGAAGGCGGCCUGCUGGGCUUUAACUGACGCUGAGGCUCGAAAGCGUGGGUAGCAAACAGGAUUAGAUACCCCAGUAGUC